GGAUGGGAUGCUACAUUGUUAAUGGUCGGGAUAG
Molecule: transfer RNA, 34 nt
Filed under: Scoparia ericacea
Lineage: Eukaryota; Viridiplantae; Streptophyta; Magnoliopsida; Lamiales; Plantaginaceae
Description: partial tRNA-Phe
Source: RNAcentral